AGCGAACGCUGGCGGCAGGCUUAACACAUGCAAGUCGAGCGGGCAUCCUUGUGGUGUCAGCGGCAGACGGGUGAGUAACGCGUGGGAACGUGCCCUUCGGUUCGGAAUAACUCAGGGAAACUUGAGCUAAUACCGGAUACGUGCGAGAGCAGAAAGGUUUAUCUGCCGAAGGAUCGGCCCGCGUCUGAUUAGCUAGUUGGUGAGGUUAUGGCUCACCAAGGCGACGAUCAGUAGCUGGUCUGAGAGGAUGAUCAGCCACACUGGGACGGGGACACGGCCCGGACUCCUACGGGAGGCAGCAGAGGGGAAUAUAGGACAAUGGGGGCAACCCUGAUCCAGCCAUGCCGGGUGAGUGAUGACGGCCUUAGGGUUGUAAAGCGCUUUUCUCCGGGACGAUAAUGACGGUACCGGAGGAAUAAGCCCCGGCUAACUUCGUG
Molecule: ribosomal RNA, 437 nt
Filed under: uncultured bacterium
Lineage: Bacteria
Description: partial 16S ribosomal RNA
Rfam family: Bacterial small subunit ribosomal RNA
Source: RNAcentral